RNAcentral lists this ribosomal RNA (377 nucleotides) under Staphylococcus aureus. RNAcentral's name for it is "partial 23S ribosomal RNA". It matches the Rfam family "Bacterial large subunit ribosomal RNA", at positions 817 to 1193 of the family's 2925-position model. The record is from RNAcentral. Lineage: Bacteria; Bacillati; Bacillota; Bacilli; Caryophanales; Staphylococcaceae.
AGCGGAGAAAUUCCAAUCGAACCUGGAGAUAGCUGGUUCUCUCCGAAAUAGCUUUAGGGCUAGCCUCAAGUGAUGAUUAUUGGAGGUAGAGCACUGUUUGGACGAGGGGCCCCUCUCGGGUUACCGAAUUCAGACAAACUCCGAAUGCCAAUUAAUUUAACUUGGGAGUCAGAACAUGGGUGAUAAGGUCCGUGUUCGAAAGGGAAACAGCCCAGACCACCAGCUAAGGUCCCAAAAUAUAUGUUAAGUGGAAAAGGAUGUGGCGUUGCCCAGACAACUAGGAUGUUGGCUUAGAAGCAGCCAUCAUUUAAAGAGUGCGUAAUAGCUCACUAGUCGAGUGACACUGCGCCGAAAAUGUACCGGGGCUAAACAUAUUA